This 253-nucleotide ribosomal RNA is filed under the name uncultured bacterium. RNAcentral's name for it is "partial 16S ribosomal RNA". It matches the Rfam family "Bacterial small subunit ribosomal RNA", at positions 524 to 776 of the family's 1533-position model. The record is from RNAcentral. RNAcentral also lists the same sequence under 1 other name.
UACGAAGGGAGCUAGCGUUGUUCGGAAUCACUGGGCGUAAAGCGCACGUAGGCGGAUGUGUCAGUCAGGGGUGAAAUCCCGGAGCUCAACUUCGGAACUGCCCUUGAUACAGCACGUCUUGAGUCCGAUAGAGGUGGGUGGAAUUCCUAGUGUAGAGGUGAAAUUCGUAGAUAUUAGGAAGAACACCGGUGGCGAAGGCGGCCCACUGGAUCGGUACUGACGCUGAGGUGCGAAAGCGUGGGGAGCAAACAGG